GCCGGAAUAGCUCAGUCGGUAGAGCAGAGGACUGAAAAUCCUCGUG
This 46-nucleotide transfer RNA is filed under the name Harpanthus scutatus. Its description in RNAcentral is "partial tRNA-Phe". It matches the Rfam family "tRNA", at positions 1 to 45 of the family's 71-position model. From Rfam's summary of the family: Transfer RNA (tRNA) molecules are approximately 80 nucleotides in length. Their secondary structure includes four short double-helical elements and three loops (D, anti-codon, and T loops). Further hydrogen bonds mediate the characteristic L-shaped molecular structure. tRNAs have two regions of fundamental functional importance: the anti-codon, which is responsible for specific mRNA codon recognition, and the 3' end, to which the tRNAs corresponding amino acid is attached (by aminoacyl-tRNA synthetases). tRNAs cope with the degeneracy of the genetic code in two manners: having more than one tRNA (with a specific anti-codon) for a particular amino acid; and 'wobble' base-pairing, i.e. permitting non-standard base-pairing at the 3rd anti-codon position. RNAcentral also lists the same sequence under 1 other name. Lineage: Eukaryota; Viridiplantae; Streptophyta; Jungermanniopsida; Jungermanniales; Harpanthaceae. The record is from RNAcentral.